CUACGGGGAUGAUUUUGAGAAUUGAACUCUCUCUUUCUGAUGUGUUAGUGGAGAAAGCACAAAAUUCUGAGUAGC
Molecule: small nucleolar RNA, 75 nt
Filed under: Carlito syrichta (Philippine tarsier)
Lineage: Eukaryota; Metazoa; Chordata; Mammalia; Primates; Tarsiidae
Description: Small nucleolar RNA SNORD26 (ENSTSYG00000023443.2)
Rfam family: Small nucleolar RNA SNORD26
About the family: U26 is a member of the C/D class of snoRNA which contain the C (UGAUGA) and D (CUGA) box motifs. U26 is encoded within the U22 snoRNA host gene (UHG) in mammals and is thought to act as a 2'-O-ribose methylation guide for ribosomal RNA.
Source: Rfam by way of RNAcentral